AGAGUUUGAUCAUGGCUCAGGAUGAACGCUAGCGGCAGGCUUAACACAUGCAAGUCGAGGGGUAGAGGAAGCUUGCUUCCUUGAGACCGGCGCACGGGUGCGUAACGCGUAUGCAAUCUACCUUAUACAGGGGGAUAGCCCAGAGAAAUUUGGAUUAAUACCCCAUAGUAUAAUUGAAUGGCAUCAUUUAAUUAUUAAAGUUCCAACGGUAUAAGAUGAGCAUGCGUCCCAUUAGCUAGUUGGUGUGGUAACGGCACACCAAGGCGACGAUGGGUAGGGGUCCUGAGAGGAGAUCCCCCACACUGGUACUGAGACACGGACCAGACUCCUACGGGAGGCAGCAGUGAGGAAUAUUGGUCAAUGGGCGCAAGCCUGAACCAGCCAUGCCGCGUGCAGGAUGACGGUCCUAUGGAUUGUAAACUGCUUUUGUACAGGAAGAAACACUCCCUCGUGAGGGAGCUUGACGGUACUGUAAGAAUAAGGAUCGGCUAACUCCGUG
Molecule: ribosomal RNA, 499 nt
Filed under: uncultured bacterium
Lineage: Bacteria
Description: bacterial SSU rRNA
Rfam family: Bacterial small subunit ribosomal RNA
Source: RNAcentral